GCUUGGUACUGCCCUACAUCACCUACAACUUCAAGGCUGAAUGCUAACUUCAAGUGACAAAAUUACAAUGGAAGGACAGGAGAGCAAAAUAAAAACACCAAAAAGAAAAAAAAAAAAGAAAAUCAAGGCAAGAUUAAUUAUUCAGCCAUCACCUGGUGAAUAGACUGAAGAGAGACUACAAAGAGUGGGGUCCAAUUGGGAAAAAUGAGACAGAAUAU
Molecule: long non-coding RNA, 218 nt
Filed under: Chinchilla lanigera (long-tailed chinchilla)
Lineage: Eukaryota; Metazoa; Chordata; Mammalia; Rodentia; Chinchillidae
Description: lncRNA (ENSCLAG00000025394.1)
Source: RNAcentral